Mobula hypostoma (lesser devil ray) is the source of this 1851-nucleotide long non-coding RNA. RefSeq lists it as uncharacterized. The record is from RefSeq and is a predicted model, not a curated record. The transcript is spliced from 4 exons. Lineage: Eukaryota; Metazoa; Chordata; Chondrichthyes; Myliobatiformes; Myliobatidae.
CGCGGCUCGAGCUCUGCCUGACGGUGUCGGAGUGUCUGUUUGGAGGGUCUGAGGGAAGGUGUCAGACUGAGAGCGAUGGACUCUCCGUGUCAGAGGCAGAGGCAACGUCUGGUGAGGAGCCACAGGGGAACAUUGAACAACAGAUGGAAACCAGGCUGAGACUUCCCAAUGCUGCUGUGGAACAUCUCCAGUUCCCGAGGACGAGCAGCAGGGAGCUCAAAUUUGUCGUAAAUGCCAGAAACCUCCCAGCACGGAUAAUGGAAGCAAUGCAAGUGCCCAGGGAACAUCAGCUACAGGACCUGCUAACGAUGCUCGACCAGUUGCUGUCAACCUUGGCCAGACCUCAGCAUGUUACCUGGCAAUGAGUUCUUCUCCCAACGUGCCUGAUGUUCCCUUUUGGCUGUUGCUGGGUCACCAUUUCAUCUCAGAGCACAUCCAAGCCCCGCUUUUGGAUAGGAUUGUUGUGUUGUUGGGGUCCCAUUACCUGCUGGUGAGGAGGAUAGCUCUCCACACGGCCUCCCAUGUCCUGGUGGUGAGGACAACAUUGGCGAUGGUAGAGUCCCAACCUCCGUACGCCGUGAGCUGUGUCUUAAGCCUCAGCGACACUCCAGCUGCUCAUCCCGCAGGAGUUCCAGCAUCCUGGGACAUCAGCAGCUGUGCUUCCGGCCUUGUCAGGCUCACACUGGGCCGCCUUCGACAGGGCCGCUGGUCAAGAGCAAGGCAGGCCCCUCCGCACUUGAGCGCUCUCCAUCGGCAUCUCCCGUCCGAUGGAAGUGGAUCCACUGCGGGGCCAAGUGGGGGGCCCAACCCCAGUCCCAAUUGAAGAGGUGACCCAGGCCAGCAACGGGAUGGGGGGAGGGAUCUGGGCCCGGUCUGCCCCAAGGAGUCCAGUUGCUGUGUCUGCCUCUGAGACGGCUGGAGACAGGGCAGGCCUCGCCUCCCUCCCCGCUCCCAGGCAGUCUACUGGGCUGCGUGCCCCGGAACAGUCCAGAUUACUGGGGUACCUCCGCCCUCACCGCACGAAAAGAGGCCUGACAGAGGCAGCAGCGGCUGAGGGCCACGGCCCCCUGGCAGGCCGUCAAGGGCAGCAAGCCCCAUGGGGCCGGGUCAUCAGGGGUCUGAUCCUCAGAAAGAGUACGGCAGAGUAGGACGUUAAAGUGGAACAGGGGACUGUUCCCUCUCAGCUGUGCAGGUGUGCGGCAGCGCAGGAACUGAACUGCUCACGUGCACGUAGCCUUUGUUUCUGCACAGCUGAGAUUUUCUUCUGUAUAAUAUUAAUAUAAUUUUUAAAUUAUGCUAAUCUAAUUUUGAAAUCCAUUAAUAAAUGUGAAAUACCAUAAUUAAUUGUGUUAAUAUAAUCCUUAAGUGUUGGCGCGUGGCCAAGUGGUUAAGACAUUCGUCUUGUGAUCUGAAAGUCGCUAGUCGAGCCUUGGCUGAGGCAGCGUGUUGUGUCCUUGAGGAAGGCACACAUUGCUCUGCGACAACACCGGUGCCAAGCUGUAUGGGUCCUAGUGCCCUUCCCUUGGACAACAUCGGUGGCGUGGAGAGGGGAGACUUGCAGCAUGGGCAACUGCCGGUCUUCCUUGCCCAGGCCUGUGCCCUGGAAACCUUCUAAGGUGCAAAUCCAUGGUCUCACAAGACUAACGGAUGCCUAUAUAUAAAAUAAAUAAUAAUCUUUAAAUAUUCUAAAUAAUAAACAUACUCUAACCUUUAAUUUGAAACAUUUAGUGCUUCGUAUUUACAUUGUUGGUGUUUCAAGUUACAAACUGUAAUCAUAAAUGCAGAAAUGAAGUCAGUAGCUCAUUGAUAAUAAACCCCUGGCCUGCUGAAUGCUGACGCUGUCUGUCAGUA